RNAcentral lists this transfer RNA (102 nucleotides) under Xylaria grammica. Its description in RNAcentral is "tRNA-Phe". It matches the Rfam family "tRNA". From Rfam's summary of the family: Transfer RNA (tRNA) molecules are approximately 80 nucleotides in length. Their secondary structure includes four short double-helical elements and three loops (D, anti-codon, and T loops). Lineage: Eukaryota; Fungi; Ascomycota; Sordariomycetes; Xylariales; Xylariaceae. RNAcentral also lists the same sequence under 1 other name. The record is from RNAcentral.
GCGGGGAUAGCUCAGUUGGGAGAGCGUCAGACUGAAGAAAUUAACUUCAUUCGAUUCUAUUCAUUAAUCUGAAGGUCGUGCGUUCGAUCCGCACUCACCGCA